GAACUUUCACUUCAGUAGCACAUAUAAUAAAAUUGGAACAAUAUAGAAGUUAGCAUGGUACCUGCACAAGGAUGACAUGCAAAUUCAUGAAGCAUUCUGUAUUUUU
Molecule: small nuclear RNA, 106 nt
Organism: Urocitellus parryii (Arctic ground squirrel)
Lineage: Eukaryota; Metazoa; Chordata; Mammalia; Rodentia; Sciuridae
Source: RefSeq, a predicted model, not a curated record